This 253-nucleotide ribosomal RNA is filed under the name uncultured bacterium. RNAcentral's name for it is "partial 16S ribosomal RNA". It matches the Rfam family "Bacterial small subunit ribosomal RNA", at positions 524 to 776 of the family's 1533-position model. The record is from RNAcentral.
UACGUAGGGUGCGAGCGUUAAUCGGAAUUACUGGGCGUAAAGUGUGCGCAGGCGGCCGAGCAAGUCGAGUGUGAAAGCCCCGAGCUUAACUUGGGAACUGCGCUCGAAACUACUUGGCUAGAGUGUGGCAGAGGGAGGUGGAAUUCCACGUGUAGCGGUGAAAUGCGUAGAGAUGUGGAGGAACACCGAUGGCGAAGGCAGCCUCCUGGGCCAACACUGACGCUGAUGCACGAAAGCGUGUGGAUCAAACAGG